GUGGGGAAUAUUGGACAAUGGGCGAAAGCCUGAUCCAGCCAUGCCGCGUGAGUGAUGAAGGCCUUAGGGUUGUAAAGCUCUUUCAGUAGGGAAGAUAAUGACGGUACCUACAGAAGAAGCCCCGGCUAACUUCGUGCCAGCAGCCGCGGUAAUACGAAGGGGGCUAGCGUUGUUCGGAUUUACUGGGCGUAAAGCGCACGUAGGCGGAUUGGUCAGUUAGAGGUGAAAUCCUGGAGCUCAACUCCAGAACUGCCUUUAAUACUGCCAGUCUAGAGUCCAGAAGAGGUGAGUGGAACUCCUAGUGUAGAGGUGGAAUUCGUAGAUAUUAGGAAGAACACCGGUGGCGAAGGCGGCACACUGGCCCAGCACUGACGCUGAGGCGCGAAAGCGUGGGGAGCGAACGGGAUUAGAUACCCGAGUAGUCC
RNAcentral lists this ribosomal RNA (425 nucleotides) under uncultured bacterium. RNAcentral describes it as "partial 16S ribosomal RNA". It matches the Rfam family "Bacterial small subunit ribosomal RNA", at positions 354 to 796 of the family's 1533-position model. The record is from RNAcentral.